CACGUUGAAACACCGGUUCCCGUAAGAUCACAGAAGUUAAGCAAUGUCGAGCUUGGUUAUUAAAUAUGGGUGACCGCUUGGGAAUUUCACGUGCU
This is a non-coding RNA of Acanthosepion pharaonis, 95 nucleotides long. Lineage: Eukaryota; Metazoa; Mollusca; Cephalopoda; Sepiida; Sepiidae. The record is from the annotation of a GenBank genome assembly.